AUACGGAGGGGGCUAGCGUUGUUCGGAAUUACUGGGCGUAAAGCGCGCGUAGGCGGCUUAUCAAGUUAGGCGUGAAAGGCCUGGGCUCAACCCGGGAACUGCGCUUAAUACUGGUAGACUUGAGUCCGGGAGAGGGUGGCGGAAUUCCCAGUGUAGAGGUGAAAUUCGUAGAUAUUGGGAAGAACACCAGUGGCGAAGGCGGCCACCUGGCCCGGUACUGACGCUGAGGUGCGAAAGCGUGGGGAGCAAACAGGAUUAGAUACCCGUGUAGUCC
This 274-nucleotide ribosomal RNA is filed under the name uncultured bacterium. Its description in RNAcentral is "partial 16S ribosomal RNA". It matches the Rfam family "Bacterial small subunit ribosomal RNA", at positions 523 to 796 of the family's 1533-position model. The record is from RNAcentral.